GGCCCUAGCUCAGUGGUAGAGCAUCUGCUUUGCAUAAAGAAUGACCCAGGUUCAAUCCUUGGCAAUGAUGGCUA
This is a non-coding RNA of Podarcis lilfordi (Lilford's wall lizard), 74 nucleotides long. The record is from the annotation of a GenBank genome assembly. NCBI's taxonomy places the organism in Eukaryota, Metazoa, Chordata, Lepidosauria, Squamata, Lacertidae.